GGGUGUGAGAGCCACCCGGCUGCGACAGCUGUCACCCCACUGAUGGCCAGGGCUGGUUUGGCUGGUCCUGCCAGCAGCUGGGUGUUCCCUUCCUGCCUCACCGCUCCACGUGCGCCCCCCGAGGGUGGGCAUCGGUGGGAGAGGACCACCUUCCUGGACAGAGGAGCACGGUUGUCAGAGGUGUAGGAGCGACUGUGCUCCCCUGCUAGAACCUCCAAACCAGCUCUCAGAGACUGGUUUCCAUAGAAGCGACGUAAGAUA
This 261-nucleotide small nuclear RNA is filed under the name Cervus elaphus hippelaphus. It matches the Rfam family "7SK RNA", at positions 1 to 266 of the family's 331-position model. Rfam says of the family: 7SK was discovered as an abundant small nuclear RNA in the mid-70s but a possible function has only recently been suggested. The record is from RNAcentral. Lineage: Eukaryota; Metazoa; Chordata; Mammalia; Artiodactyla; Cervidae.